AUGAUAAUGUUUGCCUACAGUAAACAGCACACUUGUGAUAGACAGCCCUGGACACACACCCUGAUUUCCUGUAGAAAGAAACCUGGAUUUGCACCUUUACAACGAGCGGGAUAUCAUCCUCCCAGCUUCAUAAGGGAUGAGGAUGCCACCAUAGACUGCCCAAGUUACAUUACAUCCUUCCUUUUAUCUUCAAGGUAUGUUUACUAUUCUGAGCACAAAACAAGUUAUUUAAGAUACAGUCAGUCAUUACAGCUUGAUUUCCAACUGCUUAAAAAGGUGGACCUUGCUUGCACUUUACUUUGGAAAAAAUAAGAAUUCUGAAUUAGUUUCAGAACUACACGAC
RNAcentral lists this long non-coding RNA (343 nucleotides) under Anas platyrhynchos platyrhynchos (common mallard). Its description in RNAcentral is "lncRNA (ENSAPLG00000029342.1)". The record is from RNAcentral. Lineage: Eukaryota; Metazoa; Chordata; Aves; Anseriformes; Anatidae.